This 491-nucleotide ribosomal RNA is filed under the name uncultured bacterium. RNAcentral describes it as "partial 16S ribosomal RNA". It matches the Rfam family "Bacterial small subunit ribosomal RNA", at positions 29 to 507 of the family's 1533-position model. The record is from RNAcentral.
AGUGAACGCUGGCGGUAGGCCUAACACAUGCAAGUCGAACGGCAGCACAGUAAGAGCUUGCUCUUACGGGUGGCGAGUGGCGGACGGGUGAGGAAUACAUCGGAAUCUACUUUUUCGUGGGGAUAACGUAGGGAAACUUACGCUAAUUCCGCAUACGACCUACGGGUUAAAGCAGGGGAUCUUCGGACCUUUCCCGAUUGAAUGAGCCGAUGUCGGAUUAGCUAGUUGGCGGGGUAAAGGCCCACCAAGGCGACGAUCCGUAGCUGGUCUGAGAGGAUGAUCAGCCACACUGGAACUGAGACACGGUCCAGACUCCUACGGGAGGCAGCAGUGGGGAAUAUUGGACAAUGGGCGCAAGCCUGAUCCAGCCAUACCGCGUGGGUGAAGAAGGCCUUCGGGUUGUAAAGCCCUUUUGUUGGGAAAGAAAAGCAGCAGGUUAAUACCCCGCUGUUCUGACGGUACCCAAAGAAUAAGCACCGGCUAACUUCGUG